ACUAGAGCUGGCAACAUUGUCUUCUUCCGCUUCUUCUCUCUUUCUCCCAAUCAAUUGUUCCUUAAACCCUAACCCUCAAUUUCCCCUUCUUUCUCUUUGUAAUAUACCCUUGAAAAGCAUUGCUCAAUCUCCAUGUGCUGACACAAAAUUCCUCCAAGAAAGGACAACAGGAAGAAAAAAAGAGAGAAAAAAUUAUGCUUCCUUUAGUCCCUUCCAUAUUUCUUCAUUUUAUUUUCAUCUUCUUCGUGGUUGUCCACGGCAGCAAGAACGAUUCCAUUUACGAGAUACUAAAGCUUCAUGGGCUUCCCACGGGGCUGCUUCCCAAGGGGAUAACCCGAUUUGAAUACGACGAUACGGGCCGGUUCGAGGUUCACUUGGAUCAGGCCUGUAAUGCCAAGUUUGAAAGCGAGUUUCAUUAUGACAUUAACGUGUCGGGGACUUUGAGUUACGGGAAGAUCAUGGAAUUGUCAGGGAUUUUGGCUCAAGAUUUGUUCCUUUGGUUCCCGGUUAAAGGGAUUUGGGUCGAUGUCCCCAGCUCGGGUCUUAUUUAUUUUGACAUCCUUUUCGUUUAUAAGCAGUAUCCGUUAUCGUUCUUUGAAACGCCGAAGGAUUGUCUGGCGAUUAGUAAUUCUGAGUCCGGUGAUUCGAUUCGAGAUGGCAAGUUAUUAGCUGAAGCAAUCUCCAAGAGUCAAUCUGCGAUACUUGGAUAUGAACCCGGUGAAGAAAAUUUUGGGAGGAACGAGAUGUAGAAAGGUGGACAAAGCAAGUUGUGCAAUAGCUCAAUCAGUUUACAUUCAAGCUCAUUUCGGGGGCCCGUUUCCUCCUCCGUUGUAAAUUUUGGUGGAGGGAGUCUGCUCUAGGUGGUCUUUACUGUUUAGCUUCCAUCAUGUGUGUUUUGCUUGUCUAUUUUUCCCCUUUAUUCUGUUUACCACAGAGUAGUGUACAUGCCAACUCCAGUUGGCUCCUGUCCGUACGGUGAUGGCCAAUGGGGAGAAAUUGGAAGAUUGGGAAAAUAUUUUUUUGAUGAUAGUCAUUGUUGGCUUGCCUUAUGGAGAUGGGAGCAUUUGCUUCAGGUCUAAACCUCGAUGGAAUCUGUUUUCAUUAUCAGAGUUUGAACAGGGGUUUUUGACUCUGUGUAGUGAGUAUAUUUCUCCCCAGGAUAUUUGAACUGGCACUAUCUUCUCCCUAUAAACUUUGAGUUUCCUUUUUGUUAUAUCCUUGGUAAGGGUUGUUAUUGCAACAUUAGUGAACUUUUGGGUGCCUUCUAGAUGGGCUGUGGGGCCAUAUGCAUAUUUCUUAGGCAUGUUAUAAAGUAAUGAGAAGCUUUAGAAAAUAGUUUAUUUUAGCAUCUAUGUUUUUCAAUCCAGAGUUUGAGAAUCACUGGGUAUUGAGUACACUCCGGUACAGCUUUUUGAAUCAUGGAGCUUGGUGAGAUAUUCUGAAUCUUUUUAAGUGUAUAAUAUGUCUCUUUUUCAUCGUUAGUUAUCCAUCUCCCCACACCCGUGAUGUAAAGGCAUGUAGAUUUUCAUCUGUGUCCAGAUACAUACCAAUCUUGUAAAGGAAUUGUUUCUUUGCCUUGGAUCACUUGGUAGUGAAAUGUUGAUUAAGAAUUGGAUAUACUUGUUCUAACAAGCAGGCAAACAGCAAACCCGUGUAUAAAAAUUGGAUCUACCCGGCCUGGUUCCUCAUGUAAAAUUUGCAGUUUGCCUGUACUGGGUGUAUAGGCUUUUAGCUGAUCCUUAUCAAAUGGCUUUCAACUACUCCACAAUGGACCAUCAUUAUAUAUGUUUGGUAAGUUGAAUUAUCCCUUCAGUCCCCCACUUCUACCUAGAACACUCUUUCUUCUGCAUGUUAGUUCUAUAUUUCUCCUUUACUUUCUCACUUUGAAAUGGACACUCCAAAAAUCAUCCAAAGGACUUCUUAUUGACUGUUUACUUCUCUUACUAGAGGCAUUAUUGUAAAUAAGUAGAAGAAACAGGGGAAUUGAAUGAAUUAUGGUUUCAAACAGCUCAUCUGGAUUGAGAUACUGAUAAUGAACUAGCAAACUUGGAAAUCCAUACUUUCUGGCUCGGUACAGACUGUAGAACACUUCAUUGUUUAUUUUGGAAACAAUUUCUUAGUUAUUGUUGAUAUGAUGAUCAUGAAACUUUUGCUUGUGUUGGCAAUACAAAUCAGUUGAGAAGAUUCAACUGGGUAGAAGAAUGGAUUGGUGGGGUUGACCGCCAAGCUUUGCAGUUUGUACGGCAUAGUAUGACUAAUGUUUGACUGUUAGCAUUAUUGACAGUGUUUAAUAGGAUUAAGAAGGCCUAGCAUUUUAUUGGGUGUUAUAGUGUGGGAGAACAAGAACAUGCAUUGUCUUUGAAAUACUAUGUUUUAGGUAAAGAUAGGGUUUCAAAAUAUUCUGUAGAAUGUUUUAUUUAAUGAGUGAGCAUCAUCUUUGCGUUGAAUUCAUCUUUAAAAUGAGAUGCUUGUGUAAAAAUAUAACCCUGUAAUAAAGGCAUUUCGUUUAUUA
Molecule: RNA transcript, 2512 nt
Organism: Gossypium raimondii (Peruvian cotton)
Lineage: Eukaryota; Viridiplantae; Streptophyta; Magnoliopsida; Malvales; Malvaceae
Exons: 3
Source: RefSeq, a predicted model, not a curated record